CCUACGGGAGGCAGCAGUGGGGAAUAUUGCACAAUGGGCGCAAGCCUGAUGCAGCCAUGCCGCGUGUGUGAAGAAGGCCUUCGGGUUGUAAAGCACUUUCAGCGGGGAGGAAGGCGUUAAGGUUAAUAACCUUGGCGAUUGACGUUACCCGCAGAAGAAGCACCGGCUAACUCCGUGCCAGCGGCCGCGGUAAUACGGAGGGUGCAAGCGUUAAUCGGAAUUACUGGGCGUAAAGCGCACGCAGGCGGUCUGUCAAGUCGGAUGUGAAAUCCCCGGGCUCAACCUGGGAACUGCAUUCGAAACUGGCAGGCUAGAGUCUUGUAGAGGGGGGUAGAAUUCCAGGUGUAGCGGUGAAAUGCGUAGAGAUCUGGAGGAAUACCGGUGGCGAAGGCGGCCCCCUGGACAAAGACUGACGCUCAGGUGCGAAAGCGUGGGGAGCAAACAGGAUUAGAUACCCUGGUAGUCCACGCCGUAGACGAUGUCGAUUUGGAGGUUGUGCCCUUGAGGCGUGGCUUCCGGAGCUAACGCGUUAAAUCGACCGCCUGGGGAGUACGGCCGCAAGGUUAAAACUCAAAGGAAUUGACGG
Molecule: ribosomal RNA, 586 nt
Filed under: uncultured bacterium
Lineage: Bacteria
Description: bacterial SSU rRNA
Rfam family: Bacterial small subunit ribosomal RNA
Source: RNAcentral